UNUGACUUGAGUGCAGAAGGGGAGAGUGGAAUUCCAUGUGUAGCGGUGAAAUGCGUAGAUAUAUGGAGGAACACCAGUGGCGAAAGCGGCUCUCUGNUCUGUCACUGACGCUGAGGCUCGAAAGCGUGGGUAGCGAACAGGAUUAGAUACCCUGGUAGUCCACGCCGUAAACGAUGAGUGCUAGGUGUUAGGCCCUUUCCGGGGCUUAGUGCCGGAGCUAACGCAAUAAGCACUCCGCCUGGGGAGUACGACCGCAAGGUUGAAACUCAAAGGAAUUGACGGGGGCCCGCACAAGCGGUAGAGCAUGUGGUUUAAUUCGAAGCAACGCGAAGAACCUUACCAGGUCUUGACAUCCCGAUGCUAUUCUUAGAGAUAGGAAGUUACUUUGGUACAUCGGAGACAGGUGGUGCAUGGUUGUCGUCAGCUCGUGCCGUGAGAUGUUGGGUUAAGUCCCGCAACGAGCGCAACCCUUAUUGUUAGUUGCCAUCAUUAAGUUGGGCACUCUAGCGAGACUGCCGGUAAUAAACCGGAGGGAGGUGGGGAUGACGUCAAAUCAUCAUGCCCCUUAUGACCUGGGCUACACACGUGCUACAAUGGUCGGUACAACGAGUUGCGAGCCGGUGACGGCAAGCUAAUCUCUGAAAGCCGAUCUCAGUUCGGAUUGGAGGCUGCAACUCGCCUCCAUGAAGUCGGAAUCGCUAGUAAUCGCGGAUCAGCACGCCGCGGUGAAUACGUUCCCGGGCCUUGUACACACCGCCCGUCACACCACGAGAGUUUGUAACACCCGAAGUCGGUGAGGUAACCUUUUAGGGGCCAGCCGCCUAAG
This 826-nucleotide ribosomal RNA is filed under the name uncultured bacterium. Its description in RNAcentral is "bacterial SSU rRNA". It matches the Rfam family "Bacterial small subunit ribosomal RNA", at positions 636 to 1461 of the family's 1533-position model. The record is from RNAcentral.